GAUCACGUUUUUUGUAGAAAUUAAGCAGGAAUAGUCAGCAUGGCCAUCUAACAAUAGGGCUACUUGUUCACAUCCAAGGAACUGCUGGCUUGACUCUGUCCUGUUCCCUUCCAGGCACAACAUCAUGGUGAAUUUCUACGGAGGCAAUCAUUGUAACCCCUGGGAGAGAAAGAAGAAAUAAUGGUUAAUCCACUACUGCACAGAGUCUGAAAUGCAGGUGUACAGCAGUGCUGAUAAAAGACCAAAACAGCAUCCUGUCAGAUCUAUUUGAAUCAUUACUUAAGAUGAGAUCAACAGGUAAAAUAGUCUUCACAGAAAGCUUUCUGCCAGUUGGUGAUUUCUGGAAUAUAAACCCCUGAUUCACA
This 365-nucleotide long non-coding RNA is filed under the name Anas platyrhynchos platyrhynchos (common mallard). RNAcentral's name for it is "lncRNA (ENSAPLG00000022515.1)". The record is from RNAcentral. Lineage: Eukaryota; Metazoa; Chordata; Aves; Anseriformes; Anatidae.